Molecule: long non-coding RNA, 285 nt
Organism: Saccostrea cuccullata (small rock oyster)
Lineage: Eukaryota; Metazoa; Mollusca; Bivalvia; Ostreida; Ostreidae
Exons: 3
Source: RefSeq, a predicted model, not a curated record
AAAAAAUGCUUGGCUAUGUUUGUACGAGCUUUCUUAAUGUUUUGUUAUUCCUUUCCAUCGGGAACGUUGCUCAACGUCACUUUAAAUGCAGAUUCUCCUAUGGCCUUGAUUGCUGUGAUGGAUAUUACAGAACGUAUAAUAACUCCUGUACAGCUUGUCCAAGUGGAUUUCAUGGGAAAAACUGCAGUACCAUGUGUGUAUUCCCUGCCUAUGGAAUGGCCUGUUUAGAAGAAUGCAGAUGUAACGAGUCUUUGUGUGAUUUUAUUUUUGGAUGCCCCAUUCGUG